GGAGAGGUGGCUGAGUGGUUGAAAGCGCCGUUCUCGAAAAGCGGUAUCCGCCCUAGGUGGAUCGGGGGUUCGAAUCCCUCCCUCUCCGCCA
This 91-nucleotide transfer RNA is filed under the name candidate division WWE3 bacterium CG06_land_8_20_14_3_00_42_16. RNAcentral's name for it is "tRNA-Ser". It matches the Rfam family "tRNA". From Rfam's summary of the family: Transfer RNA (tRNA) molecules are approximately 80 nucleotides in length. Their secondary structure includes four short double-helical elements and three loops (D, anti-codon, and T loops). The record is from RNAcentral. Lineage: Bacteria; candidate division WWE3.